UGCAAGUCGAGCGGACAGAUGGGAGCUUGCUCCCUGAUGUUAGCGGCGGACGGGUGAGUAACACGUGGGUAACCUGCCUGUAAGACUGGGAUAACUCCGGGAAACCGGGGCUAAUACCGGAUGGUUGUUUGAACCGCAUGGUUCAAACAUAAAAGGUGGCUUCGGCUACCACUUACAGAUGGACCCGCGGCGCAUUAGCUAGUUGGUGAGGUAACGGCUCACCAAGGCAACGAUGCGUAGCCGACCUGAGAGGGUGAUCGGCCACACUGGGACUGAGACACGGCCCAGACUCCUACGGGAGGCAGCAGUAGGGAAUCUUCCGCAAUGGACGAAAGUCUGACGGAGCAACGCCGCGUGAGUGAUGAAGGUUUUCGGAUCGUAAAGCUCUGUUGUUAGGGAAGAACAAGUACCGUUCGAAUAGGGCGGUACCUUGACGGUACCUAACCAGAAAGCCACGGCUAACUACGUGCCAGCAGCCGCGGUAAUACGUAGGUGGCAAGCGUUGUCCGGAAUUAUUGGGCGUAAAGGGCUCGCAGGCGGUUUCUUAAGUCUGAUGUGAAAGCCCCCGGCUCAACCGGGGAGGGUCAUUGGAAACUGGGGAACUUGAGUGCAGAAGAGGAGAGUGGAAUUCCACGUGUAGCGGUGAAAUGCGUAGAGAUGUGGAGGAACACCAGUGGCGAAGGCGACUCUCUGGUCUGUAACUGACGCUGAGGAGCGAAAGCGUGGGGAGCGAACAGGAUUAGAUACCCUGGUAGUCCACGCCGUAAACGAUGAGUGCUAAGUGUUAGGGGGUUUCCGCCCCUUAGUGCUGCAGCUAACGCAUUAAGCACUCCGCCUGGGGAGUAC
This 846-nucleotide ribosomal RNA is filed under the name Bacillus subtilis. Its description in RNAcentral is "bacterial SSU rRNA". It matches the Rfam family "Bacterial small subunit ribosomal RNA", at positions 56 to 883 of the family's 1533-position model. Lineage: Bacteria; Bacillati; Bacillota; Bacilli; Caryophanales; Bacillaceae. The record is from RNAcentral.